This 745-nucleotide ribosomal RNA is filed under the name uncultured bacterium. RNAcentral describes it as "bacterial SSU rRNA". It matches the Rfam family "Bacterial small subunit ribosomal RNA", at positions 33 to 773 of the family's 1533-position model. The record is from RNAcentral.
ACGCUGGCGGCAGGCCUAACACAUGCAAGUCGAGCGGAUGAAAGGAGCUUGCUCCUGGAUUCAGCGGCGGACGGGUGAGUAAUGCCUAGGAAUCUGCCUGGUAGUGGGGGACAACGUUUCGAAAGGAACGCUAAUACCGCAUACGUCCUACGGGAGAAAGCAGGGGACCCUCGGGCCUUGCGCUAUCAGAUGAGCCUAGGUCGGAUUAGCUAGUUGGUGAGGUAAUGGCUCACCAAGGCGACGAUCCGUAACUGGUCUGAGAGGAUGAUCAGUCACACUGGAACUGAGACACGGUCCAGACUCCUACGGGAGGCAGCAGUGGGGAAUAUUGGACAAUGGGCGAAAGCCUGAUCCAGCCAUGCCGCGUGUGUGAAGAAGGUCUUCGGAUUGUAAAGCACUUUAAGUUGGGAGGAAGGGCAGUAAACUAAUACUUUGCUGUUUUGACGUUACCGACAGAAUAAGCACCGGCUAACUCUGUGCCAGCAGCCGCGGUAAUACAGAGGGUGCAAGCGUUAAUCGGAAUUACUGGGCGUAAAGCGCGCGUAGGUGGUUUGUUAAGUUGGAUGUGAAAUCCCCGGGCUCAACCUGGGAACUGCAUCCAAAACUGGCAAGCUAGAGUAUGGUAGAGGGUGGUGGAAUUUCCUGUGUAGCGGUGAAAUGCGUAGAUAUAGGAAGGAACACCAGUGGCGAAGGCGACCACCUGGACUGAUACUGACACUGAGGUGCGAAAGCGUGGGGAGCAAAC